This 718-nucleotide ribosomal RNA is filed under the name uncultured bacterium. Its description in RNAcentral is "bacterial SSU rRNA". It matches the Rfam family "Bacterial small subunit ribosomal RNA", at positions 9 to 773 of the family's 1533-position model. The record is from RNAcentral.
GAGUUUGAUCCUGGCUCAGAACGUACGCUGGCGGCACGCCUAACACAUGCAAGUCGAACGCAGUAGCAAUACUGAGUGGCAGACGGGUGAGUAACAUGUGGGAAUCUGCCUUGUGGUUCAGGACAACAUUGGGAAACCGAUGCUAAUACUGGAUAAGCCCUUACGGGGAAAGUUUUAAUGCCAUAAGAUGAGCCCGCAUUUGAUUAGUUAGUUGGUGAGGUAAUGGCUCACCAAGACAAUGAUCAAUAGCUGAUCUGAGAGGAUGAUCAGCCACACUGGGACUGAGACACGGCCCAGACUCCUACGGGAGGCAGCAGUGGGGAAUCUUGCACAAUGGAGGAAACUCUGAUGCAGCGAUGCCGCGUGAGUGAAGAAGGCCUUUGGGUUGUAAAGCUCUUUUGUAGGGGAAGAUAAUGACUGUACCCUAAGAAUAAGGUCCGGCUAACUUCGUGCCAGCAGCCGCGGUAAUACGAAGGGACCUAGCGUAGUUCAGAAUUACUGGGCGUAAAGCGCGCGUAGGCCGUUGAGUUAGUUAAUUGUGAAAUCCCAAAGCUUAACUUUGGAACUGCAAUUAAAACUGCUCGACUAGAGUUUGAUAGAGGAAAGCGGAAUACAUAGUGUAGAGGUGAAAUUCGUAGAUAUUAUGUAGAACACCAGUUGCGAAGGCGGCUUUCUGGAUCAACACUGACGCUGAGGCGCGAAAGUAUGGGUAGCAAAA